This is an RNA transcript of Nomascus leucogenys (northern white-cheeked gibbon), 989 nucleotides long. It is a transcript of the gene named ras-related protein Rab-28 pseudogene, with no coding region annotated. The record is from RefSeq and is a predicted model, not a curated record. NCBI's taxonomy places the organism in Eukaryota, Metazoa, Chordata, Mammalia, Primates, Hylobatidae. The transcript has a single exon.
AUGUAGGACUCUAAGGAAGAGAGCCAGGACCAGCACUGAAAAUCAUUCUGCUAGGGAACAGCAUCUCCCAGAAGACCUCCUUAGCUACAGAUUUUGCUCAAAAAACUUUCGGGAACCAGUACAAACUAUAGGACUGGAUUUCUUUUGAGAAGGAUAACAUUGCCAGGAAACUUGAAUGUUACUCUCUAGUUUGGGAUACAGGAGGCCAGACAAUAGGAAGCAAAAUGUUGGACAGAUGCAUCUAUGGAGCACAGGAAAUCAUCUUGGUAUAUGAUAUUACAAGUUAUCAAAGCUUUGAGAAUUCUUAGAUUAGUGAAGAAAGUGAGUGAAGAGUCAGAAACUCAGCCACUGGUUGCCUUAGUGGGCAAUAAAAUUGAUUUGGAGCAUAAUCAAACAGUAAAACCUGAAAAACACUUACGGUUUUGCCAGGAAAAUGGUUUUAAUAGCCACUUUGUUUCAGCCAAGGCAAGAGGCUCUGUCUUCCUGUGUUUUCAAAAAGUUGUUGCUGAAAUCCUUGGAAUCAAAUUAAACAAAGCAGAAAUAGAACAGUCACAGAGGGUGGUAAAGGCAGAUAUUGUAAACUACAACCAGGAACCUAUGGCAAGAGCUAUUAACCCUUCUAGAAGCUCUGUGUGUGCAGCUGGGUGAGCUCAUUUUUCCAUUGUGUUGAUAGUUUUGGCUGCCCUUCACCUCUGGGUGUGUCUGAGAACUUCUAAGAACUUGUUUUAUCAGUGACCAUCUCUGUAGUUCAGUUAACACUUUCCUCCGAACUUGCUUCAUCCUUAAGUGUUCCUCCCAACCGCAGGCAUGUACUUGGAUUCAAAAGAAUUCAACUUUGCCACCACACACUUUGCAUUCAAACUGGAAGGCUCAUUCUCUGGAAUUAGACUGUUUCAUUGAAAAAGAAUGGUGUCCGGCCGGGCGCGGUGGCUCAUGCCUGUAAUCCCAGCACUUUGGGACGCCGAGGUGGGUGGAUCACCUGAGGUCAG